UUCUGCCCUAUGAUUAUUUAAAUGGCUGCAGUAUAUUGACUGUGCAAAGGUAGCAUAAUAAUUAGUCCUUUAAUUGAUGACUUGAAUGAAUGGAUAAAUGAGAAAUUAGUUUUAUUAAUUAUAUUUUUUGAAUUUAAUUUUUAGGUAAAAAAGCUUAAUUUCAUUUUCGGGACGAUAAGACCCUAUAGAACUUUAUUAUAUGUAAUAUUUGAUUUAUUUUAGUUUUUUUAAUAAUUCAUUUUUAUUAAUUCUUUUGUUGGGGUGACAAAUAAAUAUUACUUUAUUUUUUUUUUUCAUCUAUUAAUGUUUAGUUGAUCCAUUAUUUUGAUUUUAAGAUUAAGUUACCUUAGGGAUAACAGCGUAAUUUUGAUGGUAAGUUCAUAUUUAUAUUAAAGUUUGCGACCUCGAUGUUGAAUUAAGAUUAGGUUAAGGGGUAG
Molecule: ribosomal RNA, 437 nt
Filed under: Plerogonalia rudicula
Lineage: Eukaryota; Metazoa; Arthropoda; Insecta; Hemiptera; Cicadellidae
Description: partial large subunit ribosomal RNA
Source: RNAcentral